This 73-nucleotide small RNA is filed under the name Xenorhabdus szentirmaii DSM 16338. Its description in RNAcentral is "Plasmid_R1162". Lineage: Bacteria; Pseudomonadati; Pseudomonadota; Gammaproteobacteria; Enterobacterales; Morganellaceae. The record is from RNAcentral.
CGGUGUUGGCGUGUUCUCAGCACAUCAACACCGCUAACCAUAAGCAACUACCAAGGAGUUGAAUGAUGGCUAA